UACGUAGGGGGCGAGCGUUGUCCGGAGUUACUGGGCGUAAAGGGCGUGCAGGCGGUGCGGUAAGUUUAGCGUGACAGUCUCCGGCUUAACUGGAGAAGGCCGCUGAAAACUGCUGGACUUGAGGGCCAGAGAGGGACAUAGAAUUCCGGGUGGAGUGGUGAAAUGCGUAGAUAUCGGGAGGAACACCAGUGGCGAAGGCGACUACCUGGCCUGUUCUUGACGCUGAGGCGCGAAAGCUAGGGGAGCAAACGGG
RNAcentral lists this ribosomal RNA (253 nucleotides) under uncultured bacterium. RNAcentral's name for it is "partial 16S ribosomal RNA". It matches the Rfam family "Bacterial small subunit ribosomal RNA", at positions 524 to 776 of the family's 1533-position model. The record is from RNAcentral.